This is a long non-coding RNA of Vidua macroura (Pin-tailed whydah), 673 nucleotides long. RefSeq lists it as uncharacterized. The transcript has 2 exons. The record is from RefSeq and is a predicted model, not a curated record. Lineage: Eukaryota; Metazoa; Chordata; Aves; Passeriformes; Viduidae.
AGAGUGCAGACGCUCCCCUGCCCAGCUACGGGCUGGGUGGGGGAGGGGAAGCCACGCGGCCUUGUCCAGAGACUGCAUUUUAGGGGGAUGCAGUGGUGACCCAGGGAGACCUGUUUCAGCUUCGAACAGCACAAGAAUGGCGAGAAACGAAGAAAGCUGAAGAGGGAAUGGUGAUACCCUCUGUCUUCAGGAAGAAGAUGAGUCCUGUUUUUGGACCCCUCGGCCCCAGGGGAAAAUGGGGGGGACUGUAGUCCCAGGAUGAGAAACUGAACUGUUGUAUUUUUGGGUCCGUGGCAAAGCAUCCUUAAAGGAGCCCUAUGAGCAGUCUGUCCAUGCACGGUGGUGAGAGCACUGUGACAUGGAAUGGAGAGUGUCACACUGGCAGAUUUUUUUUUUCCGGGCGGUUGCCAUGUGUGACAGGGAAACACAGGGGGGCAGCUGUGUUUCCUGGGGGGUCUGUGGUGCAAGAGAGACUUCUCUCUCCCUUGAUAGUUUAAGUAUAGAUUACCUGAAGGGUGGUAAUUUGAUCAAGAAUCCCGGGUGAUGUUUCAUGGCUGGGUGUUUUUGGAAUUGGGAGGAGGAGGGGUGGUUUAAAAGGUCUUCAUCCUGGAUUUAGUUUAUGUGUUUUCUGUAUUAGUAGUAGUUUAAUAAAGUUUUUUUCCUUUGUUAUUAA